RNAcentral lists this ribosomal RNA (1449 nucleotides) under Triticum aestivum (bread wheat). Its description in RNAcentral is "partial small subunit ribosomal RNA". Lineage: Eukaryota; Viridiplantae; Streptophyta; Magnoliopsida; Poales; Poaceae. The record is from RNAcentral.
GUUGCUUCGUGGGGCGUACUCGCCUGCGCAAGGGGACGGGGUCUGGCCGCCGCUUCGCUGGGGCGCGAGACGAAGAGGGAUGGGCCGCAGCAGGAUGUGGGGCGGCGCAGCUAGGGAGCGGCCUAUCUACGUAGGGCACCGACCCUGGAAACGAAGGACAAACUGGGUCAGGGAAGAGUAGGUUGUUGUUGUUGUUUUCCUCCUUCGCCGACGAGGCCGGCGGGGGACGUCUAAGGUUGGUCGCUGCCGGGGAAGACGAGUGCGCGGGGAACCUCUAGGGCCUAGUACACCUGCAGCUGUUCUUCGUGCCUCGUCACCUACGCCACGUCAUGGAGUGACAUCUAAAAGGAGGGCGAGAAGCAGGUGUCCGUUUCCUUCCCUCCUCUCUCCACAGCCUCAUGUCCACUGGUCGUUCGUUUCUUUUCCUUCUCGGUUUCCCCGUCGUGAUAAACAUGUAACGCCGGUGGAUCACCCCACCUCGAUCUAGGCCCUUUCGUGACAUAGCUCUCACCAGCUUCUUGACCCGACGUUUAGCGGCCCGGAGUGAUUUAAGAUUUUCCUGCAGUUUCGUUGUAAAAACUCCAAAAUACGUGUGCGGGUUCGUUCUUCGAAGUUCCAGGUGAAGAUCCACGGCACGUUUAGUUAUGAUCAGCGAGUACAGCCUUCUUUGUUCCCCUUUUGUGACCUUUUUGUUAAUAUAUUAACGUUUUUUAGGUUCGUAUUUGAUCUUAUCAUGAAGGUUCUCUCCCAAAAGGGACACAAAAGUCGUGCUCAACGGACCUUUAAUAAGAUCUGAACGCACGUGUAGUAUGGUUGAACGGGUUUUCAACCAUACUUUAGAUACGUCGUUCUACUUUAGACUGUAGACACGGACAAAUAAGAUGGCGGAUCCAGCGGGGAAGAGACAAAACACAUAAAAAACAUUUAAAGUAUCAAACUUAGUUGGGAUUAGUUCGGUGGUAACGUCCCUAGAAUUCGAAAGACCUAAUCUCCCUUUCCUAAGCUAGCAACUAUUAGGUGUUCACAUCCCCUAGCGUUGUCGAAACCUCCUAUCUCAUAAGUUGGGUUUUAAUAACUAAGCUGUGUUCCCCUCGGUUUCUUAUAAGAGUUCAUAAUCUUCAACUGAACAGUUAAGUUGGUGUGGACCUAUUGAAUCAUAGACGUCGCUUCAUAAAUCAUCGUUUCACCAUACUAUCAUUACCAUUGUCAUCGUUUUCAUUUCUAUGCUUAAAACAUGACUAACAUUGUUAUCGUUGCCUUUUCAUUUAUUCGCUUUGUGUUAUACACUUUUCAAGCAUUCGUAACCUAGUCACUAUCUAUUAAUACAGCCUACGCUAAGGAGUAUAUUAUCAAUAUUGUAUCCCACUGUGUCUUGAUCAAGGUCAAGUAGUUACAUUACAUCCGUACAUAAGGCUUAUAUCAGUAUGCACGAAUACCUUUUCUUGAACG